GAUGAACGCUGGCGGCGUGCCUAAUACAUGCAAGUCGAGCGAACAGACGAGGAGCUUGCUCCUCUGACGUUAGCGGCGGACGGGUGAGUAACACGUGGAUAACCUACCUAUAAGACUGGGAUAACUUCGGGAAACCGGAGCUAAUACCGGAUAAUAUAUUUAACCGCAUGGUUCAAUAGUGAAAGACGGUUUUGCUGUCACUUAUAGAUGGAUCCGCGCCGCAUUAGCUAGUUGGUAAGGUAACGGCUUACCAAGGCAACGAUGCGUAGCCGACCUGAGAGGGUGAUCGGCCACACUGGAACUGAGACACGGUCCAGACUCCUAAGGGAGGCAGCAGUAGGGAAUCUUCCGCAAUGGGCGAAAGCCUGACGGAGCAACGCCGCGUGAGUGAUGAAGGUCUUCGGAUCGUAAAACUCUGUUAUUAGGGAAGAACAAAUGUGUAAGUAACUAUGCACGUCUUGACGGUACCUAAUCAGAAAGCCACGGCUAACUACGUG
This 497-nucleotide ribosomal RNA is filed under the name uncultured bacterium. Its description in RNAcentral is "partial 16S ribosomal RNA". It matches the Rfam family "Bacterial small subunit ribosomal RNA", at positions 28 to 507 of the family's 1533-position model. The record is from RNAcentral.